AUUGAACGCUGGCGGCAGGCCUAACACAUGCAAGUCGAGCGAGUGGCGGACGGGUGAGUAAUGUAUGGGAAACUGCCUGAUGGAGGGGGAUAACUACUGGAAACGGUGGCUAAUACCGCAUACCAUCGGAUGUACCCAUAUGGGAUUAGCUUGUGGGUGGGGUAAAGGCUCACCAAGGCGACGAUCCCUAGCUGGUCUGAGAGGAUGAUCAGCCACACUGGGACUGAGACACGGCCCAGACUCCUACGGGAGGCAGCAGUGGGGAAUAUUGCACAAUGGGCGCAAGCCUGAUGCAGCCAUGCCGCGUGUAUGAAGAAGGCCUUAGGGUUGUAAAGUACUUUCAGCGGGGAGGCGUUACCCGCAGAAGAAGCACCGGCUAACUCCGUGCCAGCAGCCGCGGUAAUAC
RNAcentral lists this ribosomal RNA (406 nucleotides) under uncultured bacterium. Its description in RNAcentral is "partial 16S ribosomal RNA". It matches the Rfam family "Bacterial small subunit ribosomal RNA", at positions 30 to 526 of the family's 1533-position model. The record is from RNAcentral.